RNAcentral lists this ribosomal RNA (737 nucleotides) under uncultured endophytic bacterium. Its description in RNAcentral is "bacterial SSU rRNA". It matches the Rfam family "Bacterial small subunit ribosomal RNA", at positions 771 to 1504 of the family's 1533-position model. The record is from RNAcentral.
AACCGGAUUAGAUACCCUGGUAGUCCACGCCGUAAACGAUGAGUGCUAGAUGUAAGGGGUAUCGACCCCCCUUGUGUCGCAGCUAACGCAAUAAGCACUCCGCCUGGGGAGUACGGCCGCAAGGUUGAAACUCAAAGGAAUUGACGGGGGCCCGCACAAGCGGUGGAGCAUGUGCAUUAAUUCGUCACUAACCGAAGAACCUUACCAGGGUUUGACAUCUCCGGACAGUCCGUGAAAGCGGAUCUUCCUCGCAAGAGGACUGGAAGACAGGUGUUGCAUGGUUGUCGUCAGCUCGUGUCGUGAGAUGUUGGGUUGAGUCCCGCAACGAGCGCAACCCUCACCCAAUGUUGCCAGCGUAAAGUCGGGAACUCUUUGGGAACUGCCCAUGUAAGUGGGAGGAAGGUGGGGAUGACGUCAAAUCGGCAUGGCCCUUACACCCUGGGCUUGACACAUGCUACAAUGGCCGUUAAACAGAGCGACGCGAUACCGCGAGGUGGAGCCAAUCGCAAAAAUACGGUCUCAGUUCAGAUUGCAGGCUGCAACUCGCCUGCAUGAAGUCGGAAUCGCUAGUAACCGCAGGUCAGCUAAACUGCGGUGAAUACGUUCCCGGGCCUUGUACACACUGCCCGUCAAGUCACCUGAGUUGUCUGCACCCGAAGCCGAUGGCCUAACCGCAAGGAGGGAGUCGUCUAAGGUGUGGGGAGCGAGGGGGACUAAGUCGUAACAAGGUAACCGUA